RNAcentral lists this ribosomal RNA (460 nucleotides) under uncultured bacterium. RNAcentral describes it as "partial 16S ribosomal RNA". It matches the Rfam family "Bacterial small subunit ribosomal RNA", at positions 338 to 795 of the family's 1533-position model. The record is from RNAcentral.
CCUACGGGAGGCAGCAGUGAGGAAUAUUGGUCAAUGGACGAGAGUCUGAACCAGCCAAGUAGCGUGAAGGAUGACUGCCCUAUGGGUUGUAAACUUCUUUUAUAAGGGAAUAAAAUGAGGCACGUGUGUGUUUUUGUAUGUACUUUAUGAAUUAGGAUCGGCUAACUCCGUGCCAGCAGCCGCGGUAAUACGGAGGAUCCGAGCGUUAUCCGGAUUUAUUGGGUUUAAAGGGAGCGUAGAUGGGUUGUUAAGUCAGUUGUGAAAGUUUGCGGCUCAACCGUAAAAUUGCAAUUGAUACUGGCAGUCGUGAGUACAGUAGAGGUAGGCGGAAUUCGUGGUGUAGCGGUGAAAUGCUUAGAUAUCACGAAGAACCCCGAUUGCGAAGGCAGCUUACUGGACUGUAACUGACAUUGAGGCUCGAAAGUGUGGGUAUCAAACAGGAUUAGAUACCCGAGUAGUC